Molecule: RNA transcript, 3794 nt
Organism: Zonotrichia leucophrys gambelii
Lineage: Eukaryota; Metazoa; Chordata; Aves; Passeriformes; Passerellidae
Gene: COLGALT2
Gene name: collagen beta(1-O)galactosyltransferase 2
Exons: 13
Source: RefSeq, a predicted model, not a curated record
CGUUCCCUGCUCCGGAGCCCGCUGUGCUCUGCCUGCCGGCGGCUCCGCGGCUGCCCCUCGCCCGCCCAUCAUGGCUGCGAGCGCGCCGCUGCUGCUGCUGCUGCUGCUGCCGCCGCUGCUGCGCGGCUGCGGGGCCGCCCCCGAGCCGCCCGAGCCGCCCGAGCCGCCGGGGCCCGAGCAGCCCGCGCUGCCCGAGUCGCCGCUGCUGCAGCCCACCGUGCUGCUCGCCAUCCUCGCCCGCAACGCCGCGCACACGCUGCCGCACGUCCUGGGCUGCAUCGAGAGGCUCAGCUACCCCAAGAGCCGCAUCGCGCUCUGGGCAGCCACUGACCACAACAUUGACAACACCACAGCAAUCCUCAGGGAGUGGCUGAAGAAUGUGCAGCACCUGUACCACGACGUGGAGUGGAGACCCAUGGAGGAGCCCCCGUCCUACCCAGAAGAACUGGGGCCGAAGCACUGGCCCAGCUCUCGGUUCACCCACGUGAUGAAGCUGCGCCAGGCUGCCCUGCGCGCGGCCCGGGACAAGUGGUCAGACUAUAUCCUGUUUAUUGAUGCAGAUAAUUUACUGACCAACCCAGAGACCCUGAACCUGCUGAUAGCAGAGAACAAGACCCUGGUGGCGCCGAUGCUCGAGUCCCGCUCGCUCUACUCCAACUUCUGGUGUGGCAUCACUCCCCAGGGCUACUACAAGAGGACCCUGGAGUACCCCCUGAUCCGGGAGUGGAAGAGGAUGGGCUGCUUUGCUGUCCCCAUGGUGCAUUCCACGUUCCUCAUUGACCUGAGGAAGGAGGCCUCUGCCAAGCUGGCCUUCUACCCCCCUCACCAGGACUACACCUGGAGCUUCGACGACAUCAUGGUCUUUGCCUUCUCCAGCCGCCAGGCAGGAGUCCAGAUGUUCAUCUGCAACCGUGAGCACUAUGGGUUCCUUCCCAUGCCCCUGAAGCCGCAGCAGUUGCUGCAGGAGGAAGCUGAGAAUUUUGUGCACACCCUGAUCGAGGCCAUGAUCGAUCGCCCUCCCGUGGAGCCCUCUCAGUACAUCUCUGUGCCCCCGAAGCACCCUGACAAGAUGGGCUUUGAUGAAAUUUUCAUGAUCAACCUGAAGCGCCGCAAGGACCGGCGGGAUCGGAUGCUGCGGACGCUCUACGAGCAGGAGAUUGCAGUGAAGGUAGUGGAGGCUGUGGAUGGAAAAGCACUGAACACGAGUCAGCUGAAAGCUCUCAGCAUCGAAAUGCUGCCGGGGUACCGGGACCCCUACUCCUCCAGGCCCCUGACCAGAGGAGAGAUCGGCUGCUUCCUGAGCCACUACUACAUCUGGAAGGAGGUGGUGAGCAGGGGCCUGGAGAAGACCCUGGUCAUUGAGGACGAUGUGCGCUUCGAGCACCAGUUCAAGAGGAAGCUCAUGAAGCUGAUGGACGACAUCGAGCAAGCCCAGUUAGACUGGGAGCUGAUCUACAUUGGCCGGAAAAGGAUGCAGGUGCAGGAGCCCGAGAGAGCCGUUCCCAAUGUCCGGAACCUGGUGGAGGCUGAUUACUCCUACUGGACCCUGGGCUAUGCCAUCUCCUUCCACGGGGCUCAGAAGCUCAUCGGGGCUGAGCCCUUCAGCAAGAUGCUGCCUGUGGAUGAAUUCCUGCCCAUCAUGUACAACAAGCACCCCGUCACAAAGUACAUGGAGUACUACGAGCCCAGAGACUUGAAGGCCUUCUCAGCAGAACCCCUGCUUGUUUACCCCACGCACUACACGGGGCAGCCGGGCUACCUCAGCGACACGGAGACCUCCACCAUCUGGGACAACGAGACCGUGUCCACGGACUGGGACAGAACGCACUCCUGGAAGUCCCGGCAGCAGGGCAAGAUCCACAGCGACGCCCAGAACAAGGACGCGCUGCCCUCCCAGCCCUCCCUGGACACGCCGUCAGCCAGGGACGAGCUAUGACUGCCCACCUCCCCGGGACUCUGUUGACAGCUGAACCUGCCUCACACUUUAGCUUUUCACCCUUGAAAGUUGUAGAGCAGCUCUUCAUGUGGUCUCUUUCCCACCACUCCCAAGGGCCGGACACCUGCCCAGGCCGCCGAGGACAGGGUGGGACACCAAGGAGGAAGCAGAACAAGCAUUCCAGAUCCAAGCAAAAGCCCUGGCAAGCUUUUGUUAGAAGAAAACCAGCCUGGAAUGACGUGGUUCCACAGUUCCUCAUGUAGAACACUGUAUUUAUAAAGAUUAAUAUAUAGAGGUGUACAAAUGUCAGUGCCUUUCAGAAUGGCUGUACCUGGGCUGCUCCCUCACUGUUACUCCUUGUAGGUCUGUAGGCUUUUACCACCCUGUUUGCUGAGCAUCUGGGGGAUUUGGGUUUGUUUUCCAAAGGGAUCCCUAUCAGAAUCAAGAUGUUUCCCCAAAGUGUUCAGUGCAGGAGAGCAGUGCUCCUCUGUCUUGUCCUCUCCCCAUCACACUCCUGUACCAAAACCAGUGCUGGCUUCCCAUCAGCUCAUUUUUAAUCUUGCUGCAUCCCAUCUAAACAGGCCUCUGGAUCCAGAACAGAUGUCUUGGAAUGUCUGAAGUCAUGGAAGCCAUGCAAGUGGAGGUAGCUGGAUUUAUUUAUCUCUGCAUUGCCUGAAGGGAAUGGUCCAUGUCACAUCCUGCUUCACCCCUGCCUCAACUUAGUCCUUCAGGAAAACAAAACCCCACAACCUAUUGGCAGGCCUGUUUUUUCAGGCCAUAAAAGCAAGUGUAGAAGUUUUGGGAAGUUAAAAUGUAAGAAGUUAGGUUACAAACUCUCCUUCUAAAACCAAAAGAACCUACAGCAAUGUUACUCUCUCAACAGCCCAAUAGAAUUGUGUGUCACAGGACGGAAGGGCGACUUGCCUGGAUAUUUUUUCAUGUGAGGAGUGAACUUUUCUGUGUUUUGGAUGAGUUCUGAUGUUUUUGCUGUUGGCUCACAUGCCAGCAGGAUAUGGUGUUUAUUUUUUUUAAAAAAACCUUUCUCAGAGGCCAGGUGAUGAUGGACUGUACUGGCACAGACCCUGAGCUUCUGGGUAGCAGGAGGAUUCCCUCCUGGAAUUGCUAUCUGGGGGCUCACCUGCUGGCAGAUCUGUGCAUUGAGUAUGUGUGGCUGGGGUUUUGGUUUUAAUUUUUGUUUGUUUUGAAUAAUUACUGAUCAAUGUUGUGCUUUCUGCUGCAGAAGACAUGUUAUUACCUGUCAGCCGGUCUGAUAAUACAUAGAACCUGGUGCAAGAUGAGCAGCUCUGUGUGUUCUUCAUUGUGUGGGAGAGUCCUGGAAGGGUUUGGGUUGUGGAAGGCACCUCUGAAGGUGCCACAGUCCAACCCUCUGCCAUGGGCAGGGACACCUUUCAUAACACCAGGUUGCUCCAAGCCCCCUUCAGCCUGACCCUGAAUGUUACUGGAGGUUAGUGGAAGUCCAGCUCAAGGGAUUCCUCUCCCAUGGAGUCACUGGUUGUGAUUCUGCAGUUCCCACCUGGAAGCCAAGUUCUUGCUGGUGUCUAUGUGGGAGCAGAUGCCCACAUGACCUGGUCUCUUGCUUGAUGAGCCCACAUGGCCUGUGUGAAGGACACUGGAAGUCUUCACCCCCUCCACCCCAGCACCAGGCCUUGGAUCUCCUCCUCUGGAGUGGAAUUUUUCCAGUUACAGCCUCAUCUCAUGCAUGGCCAGCAUAAGAUGAGGCCAGAGUCGUUCAUGAUACCCCCUCCAUGCUGGCCACAGCUCCAGUGAGUAUUGUUCCUCUUCCACAGGUUAACCUCCUGUCAGUGGACCAAUCCACUGGUUCUCUUUCAAGGGUCAG